UACGAAGGGGGCUAGCGUUGCUCGGAAUUACUGGGCGUAAAGGGCGCGUAGGCGGCAUCAACAGUCAGGCGUGAAAUUCCUGGGCUCAACCUGGGGACUGCGCUUGAUACGUUGGAGCUAGAGGAUGGAAGAGGCUCGUGGAAUUCCCAGUGUAGAGGUGAAAUUCGUAGAUAUUGGGAAGAACACCGGUGGCGAAGGCGGCGAGCUGGUCCAUUACUGACGCUGAGGCGCGACAGCGUGGGGAGCAAACAGG
Molecule: ribosomal RNA, 253 nt
Filed under: uncultured bacterium
Lineage: Bacteria
Description: partial 16S ribosomal RNA
Rfam family: Bacterial small subunit ribosomal RNA
Source: RNAcentral